CUGCAUGGCUGUCGUCAGCUCGGUGUCGUGAGAUGUUGGGUUAAGUCCCGCAACGAGCGCAACCCUUGCCUUUAGUUGCCAGCAGUUCGGCUGGGCACUCUAAAGGGACUGCCGGUGUUAAACCGGAGGAAGUGGGGAUGACGUCAAGUCCUCAUGGCCUUUAUGACCAGGGCUACACACGUACUACAAUGGCCGAUACAAAGGGCAGCGACACUGCGAGGUGAAGCCAAUCCCGUAAAAUCGGUCUCAGUCCGGAUUGGAGUCUGCAACUCGACUCCAUGAAGUUGGAAUCGCUAGUAAUCGUGGAUCAGCAUGCCACGGUGAAUACGUUCCCGGGCCUU
RNAcentral lists this ribosomal RNA (341 nucleotides) under uncultured Desulfobulbus sp. RNAcentral describes it as "bacterial SSU rRNA". It matches the Rfam family "Bacterial small subunit ribosomal RNA", at positions 1041 to 1382 of the family's 1533-position model. Lineage: Bacteria; Pseudomonadati; Thermodesulfobacteriota; Desulfobulbia; Desulfobulbales; Desulfobulbaceae. The record is from RNAcentral.